Molecule: ribosomal RNA, 484 nt
Filed under: uncultured beta proteobacterium
Lineage: Bacteria; Pseudomonadati; Pseudomonadota; Betaproteobacteria
Description: bacterial SSU rRNA
Rfam family: Bacterial small subunit ribosomal RNA
Source: RNAcentral
GCAAGUCGAACGGUAACAGGCCGCAAGGUGCUGACGAGUGGCGAACGGGUGAGUAAUGCAUCGGAACGUGCCCAGUCGUGGGGGAUAACGCAGCGAAAGCUGUGCUAAUACCGCAUACGAUCUAUGGAUGAAAGCGGGGGACCGUAAGGCCUCGCGCGAUUGGAGCGGCCGAUGUCAGAUUAGGUAGUUGGUGGGGUAAAGGCCCACCAAGCCAACGAUCUGUAGCUGGUCUGAGAGGACGACCAACCACACUGGAACUGAGACACGGUCCAGACUCCUACGGGAGGCAGCAGUGGGGAAUUUUGGACAAUGGGCGCAAGCCUGAUCCAGCAAUGCCGCGUGCAGGAAGAAGGCCUUCGGGUUGUAAACUGCUUUUGUACGGAACGAAACGGUCUGGGUUAAUACCUCGGGCUAAUGACGGUACCGUAAGAAUAAGCACCGGCUAACUACGUGCCAGCAGCCGCGGUAAUACGUAGGGUGCAAG